GGGAAGUUGGCUCAGUGGUAGAGUGUUUGCCUCACAAGCAUGAGGCCCUAGGUUCAAAUCCUCAGCACCACA
Non-coding RNA from Dipodomys ordii (Ord's kangaroo rat), 72 nucleotides. The record is from Rfam. Lineage: Eukaryota; Metazoa; Chordata; Mammalia; Rodentia; Heteromyidae.